GACGAACGCUGGCGGCGUGCUUAACACAUGCAAGUCGAACGGAAAGGCCCUGCUUUUGUGGGGUGCUCGAGUGGCGAACGGGUGAGUAACACGUGAGUAACCUGCCCUUGACUUUGGGAUAACUUCAGGAAACUGGGGCUAAUACCGGAUAGGAGCUCCCGCUGCAUGGUGGGGGUGGGAAAGUUUCGGCGGUUGGGGAUGGACGCGCGGCUUAUCAGCUUGUUGGUGGGGUAGUGGCUUACCAAGGCUGUGACGGGUAGCCGGCCUGAGAGGGUGACCGGCCACAAUGGGACUGAGAUACGGCCCAGAGUCCUACGGGAGGCAGCAGUGGGGAACAUUGCACAAUGGUCGGAAGCGUGAUGCAGCAACGCCGCGUGCGGGAAGACGGCCUUCGGGUUGUAAACCGCUUUCGCCUAUGACGAAGCGUGAGUGACGGUACUGGAUGAAGAAGCACCGGCUAACUACGUG
Molecule: ribosomal RNA, 468 nt
Filed under: uncultured bacterium
Lineage: Bacteria
Description: partial 16S ribosomal RNA
Rfam family: Bacterial small subunit ribosomal RNA
Source: RNAcentral